GCAAUGCAAACUGAAUAAGAACACAGUCCAAAUGCACCAGUGCCAGUUGUUUUCCUAAGGGCUGUUGGAGUGUAGGGAAAACACCCCUGAAAGAAGAAAGAGUUCAGCUUGAGGUACUUUGAUGAGGCAAAUGGAGCAAUGGAAUAUCUCAACAGAGACUUUUUCAUGUUCUUAUUAUAUGCUCUAGAGAAUGUGCUUGCUACUAUCAAUGUUAUCGUAUGCAUGUAUUCAACUGAUCCUUUUAAUUUAGCGCUACAGUUUAUACAGCCUUUGAAUUAUGUAACAAAGGCUGCUUGAAAGCCCAGAUUCCUUUCAGCAUGGAAGCAGUCAAGAGACCAAACAGAUUCCACCGACUCCUGAAGUAAAGCAGCUUGCAAACACCUUAGUUUCUUGUCGAAGGCUGUUAAGUUAGAAGAGUGUAAGGCUUGAGUGCUGUGGCAAUGAAUAAAAAGAAGGGAAAGAAGGGAAUAGUCUUAAAUGUUGCAAGAAAUUAAGAUCUGUUUUGUCCAUUAUGUCUUGCAUAAAUCCAAAGCUUCACUUUAAGGAGAUGGCAACUUCUAAUCUGUCAGUCCUUUCAUAAAUAAUUUUUUAAAAUGUAAACUCAUGAAAACAAACCAACAAUAUACAAGCUCAUCUACAAGAGCCGUUCCAAAAGUGAUGCCUCCUGUUUUAUUAUGGUGGUCCACAACAACAGAGGCAGAUAGUAGUGUUAUGGCAAGAGAAGCUGGACCUUCCCACAAAUAUUCCAUUACAUUUUCUUGCCAUGUGACAGAUGGCAGCAGAGGGGGUGUCUGACGUAAGAGUGUGUGUGAAGCAAAGGUGAGAAUUUGAAUUUCUCCAUGUGGAAAAAAUGGUACCCAAUGACGUUCAUCAAUGCUUGCUGACUGUUUCCGGAGAACAAACAGUGGAUGUGAGCACAGUGAGGUAGUGGAUGGUGCAUUUCAUCAGUGGCAACAGUGGAUCUCCUCCACUACUGCAGUUCUUUAUGAGCAUGGCAUGCAGGUUUUUGUUCAUUGCUGGCAAAAAUGCAUUGCUAAUGAUGGUGACUAUGUGGAAAAAUAGUGUUUUAGCUGAGAAUUUUCUAUAACAAGUAGUGUUAUUAUAUGCUUUAUAUCUGUUAUAUUUUCCAUGAAAAAUCAUACUUUCAUGGCAACCUACAUGUAUAUUAUAUAUAAUUCCU
Tympanuchus pallidicinctus (lesser prairie-chicken) is the source of this 1180-nucleotide long non-coding RNA. RefSeq lists it as uncharacterized. The record is from RefSeq and is a predicted model, not a curated record. The transcript has 4 exons. Lineage: Eukaryota; Metazoa; Chordata; Aves; Galliformes; Phasianidae.